RNAcentral lists this ribosomal RNA (492 nucleotides) under uncultured bacterium. Its description in RNAcentral is "partial 16S ribosomal RNA". It matches the Rfam family "Bacterial small subunit ribosomal RNA", at positions 29 to 507 of the family's 1533-position model. The record is from RNAcentral.
AGUGAACGCUGGCGGUAGGCCUAACACAUGCCAGUCGAACGGCAGCACAGUAAGAGCUUGCUCUUACGGGUGGCGAGUGGCGGACGGGUGAGGAAUACAUCGGAAUCUACUUUUUCGUGGGGGAUAACGUAGGGAAACUUACGCUAAUACCGCAUACGACCUACGGGUGAAAGCAGGGGAACUUCGGACCUUGCGCGAUUGAAUGAGCCGAUGUCGGAUUAGCUAGUUGGCGGGGUAAAGGCCCACCAAGGGGACGAUCCGUAGCUGGUCUGAGAGGAUGAUCAGCCACACUGGAACUGAGACACGGUCCAGACUCCUACGGGAGGCAGCAGUGGGGAAUAUUGGACAAUGGGCGCAAGCCUGAUCCAGCCAUACCGCGUGGGUGAAGAAGGCCUUCGGGUUGUAAAGCCCUUUUGUUGGGAAAGAAAAGCAGCAGGUUAAUACCCCGCUGUUCUGACGGUACCCAAAGAAUAAGCACCGGCUAACUUCGUG